AUUGAACGCUGGCGGCAGGCCUAACACAUGCAAGUCGAGCGGAUGAAGGGAGCUUGCUCCUGGAUUCAGCGGCGGACGGGUGAGUAAUGCCUAGGAAUCUGCCUGGUAGUGGGGGAUAACGUCCGGAAACGGGCGCUAAUACCGCAUACGUCCUGAGGGAGAAAGUGGGGGAUCUUCGGACCUCACGCUAUCAGAUGAGCCUAGGUCGGAUUAGCUAGUUGGUGGGGUAAAGGCCUACCAAGGCGACGAUCCGUAACUGGUCUGAGAGGAUGAUCAGUCACACUGGAACUGAGACACGGUCCAGACUCCUACGGGAGGCAGCAGUGGGGAAUAUUGGACAAAGGGCGAAAGCCUGAUCCAGCCAUGCCGCGUGUGUGAAGAAGGUCUUCGGAUUGUAAAGCACUUUAAGUUGGGAGGAAGGGCGGUAAGUUAAUACCUUGCUGUUUUGACGUUACCAACAGAAUAAGCACCGGCUAACUUCGUG
Molecule: ribosomal RNA, 484 nt
Filed under: uncultured bacterium
Lineage: Bacteria
Description: partial 16S ribosomal RNA
Rfam family: Bacterial small subunit ribosomal RNA
Source: RNAcentral